GUAGUGUAGGGUGGUCAGUUGUCAUAGUGUCUGGUAGUGUAGUGUAGGGUGGUCAGUUGUCAUAGUGUCUGGUAGUGUAGUGUAGUGUCUGGUAGUGUAGGGUGGUCAGUUGUCAUAGUGUCUGGUAGUGUAGGGUUGUCAUAGUGUCUGGUAGUGUAGGGUGGUCAUAGUGUAGGGUGGUCAGUUGUCAUAGUGUCUGGUAGUGUAGGGUUGUCAUAGUGUCUGGUAGUGUAGGGUGGUCAGUUGUCAUAGUGUCUGGUAGUGUAGGGUGGACAGUUGUCAUAGUGUCUGGUAGUGUAGGGUGGUCAGUUGUCAUAGUGUCUGG
Oncorhynchus tshawytscha (Chinook salmon) is the source of this 325-nucleotide long non-coding RNA. Lineage: Eukaryota; Metazoa; Chordata; Actinopteri; Salmoniformes; Salmonidae. The record is from Ensembl.